Molecule: ribosomal RNA, 497 nt
Filed under: uncultured bacterium
Lineage: Bacteria
Description: partial 16S ribosomal RNA
Rfam family: Bacterial small subunit ribosomal RNA
Source: RNAcentral
GAUGAACGCUGGCGGCGUGCCUAACACAUGCAAGUCGAGCGAACAGACGAGGAGCUUGCUCCUCUGACGUUAGCGGCGGACGGGUGAGUAACACGUGGAUAACCUACCUAUAAGACUGGGAUAACUUCGGGAAACCGGAGCUAAUACCGGAUAAUAUAUUGAACCGCAUGGUUCAAUAGUGAAAGACGGCUUUGCUGUCACUUAUAGAUGGAUCCGCGCCGCAUUAGCUAGUUGGUAAGGUAACGGCUUACCAAGGCAACGAUGCGUAGCCGACCUGAGAGGGUGAUCGGCCACACUGGAACUGAGACACGGUCCAGACUCCUACGGGAGGCAGCAGUAGGGAAUCUUCCGCAAUGGGCGAAAGCUUGACAGAGCAACGCCGCGUGAGUGAUGAAGGUCUUCGGAUCGUAAAGCUCUGUUAUUAGGGAAGAACAAAUGUGUAAGUAACUAUGCACGUCUUGACGGUACCUAAUCAGAAAGCCACGGCUAACUACGUG